This is a non-coding RNA of Myotis daubentonii (Daubenton's bat), 548 nucleotides long. NCBI's taxonomy places the organism in Eukaryota, Metazoa, Chordata, Mammalia, Chiroptera, Vespertilionidae. The record is from the annotation of a RefSeq genome assembly.
CUGAUUUGCAUGCCCCCCAGCUGUGUCCAAGGGGAUAAGAGAGGCCUGGGAGGAGCCCUGCAGCCUGGGCCUCAGGGAGCAGAGUCAGGGCGCCCACCAUGGCCUGGACCCCUCUCCUGCUCGGCCUCCUGGCUCACUGCACAGCCUCUGUGGCCUCCUAUGAGCUGACGCAGCCGCCCUCGGUGUCGGUGAACCCGGGACAGACGGCCAGGCUCACGUGUGGGGGAAACAGCAUUGGAGGGAAAAGUGUCCACUGGUACCAGCAGAAGCCCGGCCAGGCCCCCGUGCUGGUCAUCUAUAAUGAUAACAACCGGCCCUCAGGGAUCCCUGACCGAUUCUCAGGCACCAACUCGGGGAACACGGCCGCCCUGACCAUCAGCGGGGCCCAGGCCCAGGACGAGGCCGACUAUUACUGUCAGGUGUGGGACAGCAGUGAUGAUGCUCACAGUGACUCAGGCGGAUGGGGAAGUGGGACAGAAACCUCCCUGUGUCACCCGCUCCUCCAGCCCCGAGGGCUACAGACCGAGCCCUGAGCACGGCUGCCCGUC